RNAcentral lists this ribosomal RNA (301 nucleotides) under uncultured bacterium. RNAcentral describes it as "partial 16S ribosomal RNA". It matches the Rfam family "Bacterial small subunit ribosomal RNA", at positions 509 to 807 of the family's 1533-position model. The record is from RNAcentral.
CAGUCGCCGCGGUAAUACGUAGGGUGCAAGCGUUAAUCGGAAUUACUGGGCGUAAAGCGUGCGCAGGCGGUUUGUUAAGACAGAUGUGAAAUCCCCGGGCUCAACCUGGGAACUGCAUUUGUGACUGGCAGGCUAGAGUAUGGCAGAGGGGGGUGGAAUUCCGCGUGUAGCAGUGAAAUGCGUAGAUAUGCGGAGGAACACCGAUGGCGAAGGCAGCCCCCUGGGCCAAUACUGACGCUCAUGCACGAAAGCUAGGGGAGCAAACAGGAUUAGAUACCCCGGUAGUCCCUGUCUCUUAUAC